GACGAACGCUGGCGGCGUGCCUAAUACAUGCAAGUCGAGCGGACUUUCAAGAAGCUUGCUUUUUGAAAGUUAGCGGCGGACGGGUGAGUAACACGUGGGCAACCUGCCUGCAAGACGGGGAUAACUCCGGGAAACCGGGGCUAAUACCGGAUAAUAUCUUCCUUCGCAUGAAGGAAGGUUGAAAGGCGGCGCAAGCUGCCGCUUGCAGAUGGGCCCGCGGCGCAUUAGCUAGUUGGUGAGGUAACGGCUCACCAAGGCGACGAUGCGUAGCCGACCUGAGAGGGUGAUCGGCCACACUGGAACUGAGACACGGCCCAGACUCCUACGGGAGGCAGCAGUAGGGAAUCUUCCGCAAUGGACGAAAGUCUGACGGAGCAACGCCGCGUGAGCGAAGAAGGUCUUCGGAUCGUAAAGCUCUGUUGUCAGGGAAGAACAAGUACCGUUCGAACAGGGCGGUACCUUGACGGUACCUGACCAGAAAACACGGCUAACUACGUG
This 498-nucleotide ribosomal RNA is filed under the name uncultured bacterium. RNAcentral's name for it is "partial 16S ribosomal RNA". It matches the Rfam family "Bacterial small subunit ribosomal RNA", at positions 28 to 507 of the family's 1533-position model. The record is from RNAcentral.